This 465-nucleotide ribosomal RNA is filed under the name uncultured bacterium. RNAcentral's name for it is "partial 16S ribosomal RNA". It matches the Rfam family "Bacterial small subunit ribosomal RNA", at positions 28 to 507 of the family's 1533-position model. The record is from RNAcentral.
GACGAACGCUGGCGGCGUGCUUAACACAUGCAAGUCGUACGGUAAGGCCCUGUCGGGGGUACGCGAGUGGCGCACGGGGGAGUAACACGUGAGUAACCUGCCCACGACUUGGGGAUAGCGGUAGGAAACUGGGGCUAAUACUGGAUAUGUGCUCCUGCUGCAUGGUGGGGGUUGGAAAGCUCCGGCGGUUGUGGAUGGACUCGCGGCCUAUCAGCUAGUUGGUGGGGUAGUGGCCUACCAAGGCGGCGACGGGUAGCCGGCCUGAGAGGGUGACCGGCCACAUUGGGACUGAGAUACGGCCCAGUCGCCUACGGGAGGCAGCAGUGGGGAAUAUUGCACCAUGGGCGCCAGCCUGAUGCAGCAACGCCGCGUGCGGGAUGACGGCCUUCGGGUUGUAAACCGCUUUCAGCAGGGACGAAGCUUUUUGUGACGGUACCUGCAGAAGAAGCACCGGCUAACUACGUG